RNAcentral lists this ribosomal RNA (381 nucleotides) under uncultured cyanobacterium. Its description in RNAcentral is "bacterial SSU rRNA". It matches the Rfam family "Bacterial small subunit ribosomal RNA", at positions 376 to 770 of the family's 1533-position model. Lineage: Bacteria; Bacillati; Cyanobacteriota. The record is from RNAcentral.
CGAAAGCCUGACGGAGCAACGCCGCGUGGGGGGAGGAAGGCUCUAGGGUUGUAAACCCCUUUUCUUUGGGAAGAACAAAAUGACGGUACCAAAGGAAUCAGCCUCGGCUAACUCCGUGCCAGCAGCCGCGGUAAUACGGAGGAGGCAAGCGUUAUCCGGAAUGAUUGGGCGUAAAGCGUCCGCAGGUGGCGAUGCAAGUCUGCUGUCAAAACCCAGGGCUCAACUCUGGUCAGGCAGUGGAAACUACAAAGCUAGAGUCUGGUAGGGGCAAAGGGAAUUCCCAGUGUAGCGGUGAAAUGCGUAGAUAUUGGGAAGAACAUCGGUGGCGAAGGCGCGCUACUGGACCGAAACUGACACUCAGGGACGAAAGCUAGGGGAGCG